Carassius auratus (goldfish) is the source of this 214-nucleotide long non-coding RNA. RefSeq lists it as uncharacterized. Lineage: Eukaryota; Metazoa; Chordata; Actinopteri; Cypriniformes; Cyprinidae. The transcript has 3 exons. The record is from RefSeq and is a predicted model, not a curated record.
AGUCUGUCAGAGAAGAGAGGAAAGAUGAGGCUCUCACACAAACAGAGUGUAAGAUCAGACUCACAUGUGUCCAGCUCUGUGUCUGUGAAGAGUGACCAGUCAAAGGAUGAACCACCAUACUUCAGUGAAGAAACAAUGUCACGAACCAAACGGCUUCAGUAUGAAACAUUAGAUCCAGAUUUACAGUCUCACAGGAACCACCAGAAUUUUACAG